This 430-nucleotide ribosomal RNA is filed under the name uncultured bacterium. Its description in RNAcentral is "partial 16S ribosomal RNA". It matches the Rfam family "Bacterial small subunit ribosomal RNA", at positions 354 to 796 of the family's 1533-position model. The record is from RNAcentral.
GUGGGGAAUAUUGCACAAUGGGCGAAAGCCUGAUGCAGCAACGCCACGUGAGGGACGACGGCCUUCGGGUUGUAAACCUCUUUUAGUAGGGAAGAAGCGAAAGUGACGGUACCUGCAGAAAAAGCACCGGCUAACUACGUGCCAGCAGCCGCGGUAAUACGUAGGGUGCAAGCGUUAUCCGGAAUUAUUGGGCGUAAAGAGCUCGUAGGCGGUCUGUCGCGUCUUCUGUGAAAACUGGAGGCUCAACCUCCAGCCUGCAGUGGGUACGGGCAGACUAGAGUGCGGUAGGGGAGAUUGGAAUUCCUGGUGUAGCGGUGGAAUGCGCAGAUAUCAGGAGGAACACCGAUGGCGAAGGCAGAUCUCUGGGCCGUAACUGACGCUGAGGAGCGAAAGCGUGGGGAGCGAACAGGAUUAGAUACCCGAGUAGUCC